This 334-nucleotide unclassified non-coding RNA is filed under the name soil metagenome. RNAcentral describes it as "partial contains 5.8S ribosomal RNA, internal transcribed spacer 2, and large subunit ribosomal RNA". The stretch from base 1 to 120 matches the Rfam family "5.8S ribosomal RNA", at positions 35 to 154 of the family's 154-position model. The record is from RNAcentral.
GAUGAAGAACGUAGCGAAAUGCGAUAAGUAGUGUGAAUUGCAGAAUUCAGUGAAUCAUCGAAUCUUUGAACGCACAUUGCGCCCUGUGGUAUUCCGCAGGGCAUGCCUGUUCGAGCGUCAUUGACACCCUCAAGCUCUGCUUGGUCUCGGGCGUUUGUGCCUGCCGUUGCGCAGGGACUCGCCUCAAACUCAUUGGCAGCCUGCCUUUGCCGGUCUUUGCACAGCACAGUCGUGCCAAAGCCGCGGUGAGCAGGCGCUCCACAAGCCCUUUUCAGCUUGACCUCGGAUCAGGUAGGAAUACCCGCUGAACUUAAGCAUAUCAAUAAGCGGAGGA